This 450-nucleotide ribosomal RNA is filed under the name uncultured bacterium. Its description in RNAcentral is "bacterial SSU rRNA". It matches the Rfam family "Bacterial small subunit ribosomal RNA", at positions 8 to 460 of the family's 1533-position model. The record is from RNAcentral.
AGAGUUUGAUCCUGGCUCAGAUUGAACGCUGGCGGCAUGCCUUACACAUGCAAGUCGAACGGCAGCACGGGAGCAAUCCUGGUGGCGAGUGGCGAACGGGUGAGUAAUAUAUCGGAACGUGCCCAGUCGUGGGGGAUAACGCAGCGAAAGCUGUGCUAAUACCGCAUACGAUCCAAGGAUGAAAGCGGGGGAUCGCAAGACCUCGCGCGAUUGGAGCGGCCGAUAUCAGAUUAGCUAGUUGGUGGGGUAAAGGCUCACCAAGGCGACGAUCUGUAGCUGGUCUGAGAGGACGACCAGCCACACUGGAACUGAGACACGGUCCAGACUCCUACGGGAGGCAGCAGUGGGGAAUUUUGGACAAUGGGCGCAAGCCUGAUCCAGCAAUGCCGCGUGCAGGAUGAAGGCCUUCGGGUUGUAAACUGCUUUUGUACGGAACGAAACGGUCUGCCC